Molecule: ribosomal RNA, 393 nt
Filed under: uncultured bacterium
Lineage: Bacteria
Description: partial 16S ribosomal RNA
Rfam family: Bacterial small subunit ribosomal RNA
Source: RNAcentral
AUACGGAGGAUGCAAGCGUUAUCCGGAUUUAUUGGGUUUAAAGGGUGCGUAGGCGGAUGAUUAAGCGUGAGGUGAAAUGCCACUGCUCAACAGUGGAACUGCCUCGCGAACUGGUUGUCUUGAAUGCUCCUGCCGUGGGAGGAAUGUGUGGUGUAGCGGUGAAAUGCAUAGAGAUCACACAGAACACCGAUUGCGAAGGCAUCUCACGAAGGGUUGAUUGACGCUGAGGCACGAAAGCGUGGGGAUCAAACAGGAUUAGAUACCCUGGUAGUCCACGCAGUAAACGAUGAUGGCUAACCGCUGGUUUUUUCGGAUCAGUGGCCAAGCGAAAGCGAUAAGCCAUCCACCUGGGGAGUACGACCGCAAGGUUGAAACUCAAAUGAAUUGACGGGG